Small RNA from Lentisphaera araneosa HTCC2155, 46 nucleotides. It matches the Rfam family "Acido-Lenti-1 RNA". The record is from Rfam. NCBI's taxonomy places the organism in Bacteria, Pseudomonadati, Lentisphaerota, Lentisphaeria, Lentisphaerales, Lentisphaeraceae.
CAUGGGAUUCACAUCCCAUGCUAAAAUAUUCCAUGGUUUCACCAUG